GUCAGAUUGAAAAUGAAAAAUAAUAUUGUGAUAAAUUAUACACUAAAAUAUUUGAGGACUACUGAAGCCAGCAAAACUGAAGCAAGCUGUAAAGACGGGAAAACAUUCCUACCAACUGGAGCUUUCAUUGGAGUGAUGGGAGGAUGGUCCCCUGCAUCAUGGCCUUUCCUUGGACGAUUGAUGCCUUCUGAUAGCAAUGCUUUCACCUGGGUGAAGGAAAAG
RNAcentral lists this long non-coding RNA (222 nucleotides) under Gallus gallus (chicken). Lineage: Eukaryota; Metazoa; Chordata; Aves; Galliformes; Phasianidae. The record is from RNAcentral.